RNAcentral lists this ribosomal RNA (253 nucleotides) under uncultured bacterium. Its description in RNAcentral is "partial 16S ribosomal RNA". It matches the Rfam family "Bacterial small subunit ribosomal RNA", at positions 524 to 776 of the family's 1533-position model. The record is from RNAcentral.
UACGAAGGGGGCUAGCGUUGUUCGGAAUUACUGGGCGUAAAGAGUGUGUAGGCGGUGCUCUAAGUCUGUUGUGAAAUCUCCCGGCUUAACCGGGAGGGUGCGGCGGAAACUGGAGUGCUUGAGGGUGGGAGAGGUAAGCGGAAUUCCUGGUGUAGCGGUGAAAUGCGUAGAUAUCAGGAGGAACACCUGUGGUGUAGACAGCUUACUGGACCACUUCUGACGCUGAGACACGAAAGCGUGGGUAGCAAACAGG